AGUGAACGCUGGCGGUAGGCCUAACACAUGCAAGUCGAACGGCAGCACAGUAAGAGCUUGCUCUUACGGGUGGCGAGUGGCGGACGGGUGAGGAAUACAUCGGAAUCUACUUUUUCGUGGGUGAUAACGUAGGGAAACUUACGCUAAUACCGCAUACGACCUACGGGUUAAAGCAGGGGAUCUUCGGACCUUGCGCGAUUGUAUGAGCCGAUGUCGGAUUAGCUAGUUGGCGGGGUAAAGGCCCACCAAGGCGACGAUCCGUAGCUGGUCUGAGAGGAUGAUCAGCCACACUGGAACUGAGACACGGUCCAGACUCCUACGGGAGGCAGCAGUGGGGAAUAUUGGACAAUGGGCGAAAGCCUGAUCCAGCCAUGCCGCGUGGGUGAAGAAGGCCUUCGGGUUGUAAAGCCCUUUUGUUGGGAAAGAAAAGCAGCAGGUUAAUACCCCGCUGUUCUGACGGUACCCAAAGAAUAAGCACCGGCUAACUUCGUG
RNAcentral lists this ribosomal RNA (492 nucleotides) under uncultured bacterium. RNAcentral's name for it is "partial 16S ribosomal RNA". It matches the Rfam family "Bacterial small subunit ribosomal RNA", at positions 29 to 507 of the family's 1533-position model. The record is from RNAcentral.